Cynocephalus volans (Philippine flying lemur) is the source of this 102-nucleotide small nuclear RNA. NCBI's taxonomy places the organism in Eukaryota, Metazoa, Chordata, Mammalia, Dermoptera, Cynocephalidae. The record is from RefSeq and is a predicted model, not a curated record.
UCGCUUUGGCAGCAGAUAUACUAAAAACUGGAACGAUACAGAGAAGAUUAGCAUGACCACUGAGUAAGAUCAAAUUCGUCACUAGAUCCUCUCCCUUCAGUA